RNAcentral lists this long non-coding RNA (429 nucleotides) under Salmo salar (Atlantic salmon). RNAcentral describes it as "lncRNA (ENSSSAG00000100831.1)". Lineage: Eukaryota; Metazoa; Chordata; Actinopteri; Salmoniformes; Salmonidae. The record is from RNAcentral.
CUGCAGCCUCAGGUGGAUCAGGACAAGAUUCAGCCUCCUGAACAGCUUUCACAAGCGCUGUAGAGGCUGCUCUGCAGGGGAGGCGCUCCCUUCUUUGAAUGUGUGGGGUUACAAGUGCCUUUCCCAGCUGCUCCAGGAACACCCUCCUCUUGUGGAUGAUGACCAUGGGCCAGCGGGCAGUCAUCCUCCUGCAACCUGGUGCUCAGGAGGACCACAUUCUUGUUCUUCAAUGGGAGGCAGAAUGGGAUGUGGACCUUAUGAUGUUAAUCAGGCAGAACACAGACCAGCUCUCAGCCCAUACAACAUCUUCUGCCUGAAGGAACAAUCCUUUUGUCAUUGUUGACAAACCAACCGAUCAAUGUGGGGUAUAUCUAAUCCUCCAGUAAUCUGAUGUAAUGAUUAAUCCUCCAGUAAUCUGAUGUAAUGUUU